RNAcentral lists this non-coding RNA (147 nucleotides) under Nomascus leucogenys (northern white-cheeked gibbon). Lineage: Eukaryota; Metazoa; Chordata; Mammalia; Primates; Hylobatidae. The record is from Rfam by way of RNAcentral.
GCUGGGCAUGGUGGCGCGUGCCUGUAGUCCCAGCUACUUGGGAGGCUGAGGCAGGAGAAUCGCUUGAACCCAGGAGGUGGAGCUUGCAAGGAGCGAGACCGCGCCAUUGCACCCCAGCCUGGGCGACAGAGCGAGACUCUGUCUCCA